Oncorhynchus keta (chum salmon) is the source of this 618-nucleotide long non-coding RNA. RefSeq lists it as uncharacterized. The transcript has 3 exons. The record is from RefSeq and is a predicted model, not a curated record. Lineage: Eukaryota; Metazoa; Chordata; Actinopteri; Salmoniformes; Salmonidae.
ACUUCUUCAUUGUGUUUCAAAAAAGCGUACUUAAGUGAGAGCGGAGAGGGUUGGCAAACGACGGGGUAAACAGUGAGGGGGGGAGGAAGCGUUGUACAGCUGCUCCGAUCAAGAUUUGUGUGUCGUAAAUACACCCGACUGGGAUUUUUGGGGUGUGGAUGGUUGGGUGUUGCUAUGGGUUUUUGGCAUGAUGCAUCUUCAACACGGUUGAAGGUUGUAGUGAGGGGCCUCAAACCUUUCUGGAAUCCUGAACACUGAAACUAUUAAAAGGUCCAGGCCUUAGCCAAGUGCAUCUUCGCGGCAUAAAUCAAUUCUAAAUAGAUGCUUGUGUUUCUUUCCAUUUAAAUCACAACCCUACGCUUCUUUUCAGAGAGAGAGAAUGGGGGAGAAAGAGAGGGAGAGAGAAGUGGAGAUGGAGAAUGGGGAGGGAGAGAGAAAAGUGGAGAUGGAGAAUGGGGAGGGAGAGAGAGAAGUGGAGAUGGAGAAUGGGGAGGGAGAGAGAGAAGUGGAGAUGGAGAAAGAGAGGGAGAGAGAAAAGUGGAGAUGGAGAAAGAGAGGGAGAGAGAAGUGGAGAUGGAGAAUGGGGAGGGAGAGAGAGAAGUGGAGAUGGAGAAAGAG